Acanthosepion pharaonis is the source of this 108-nucleotide non-coding RNA. NCBI's taxonomy places the organism in Eukaryota, Metazoa, Mollusca, Cephalopoda, Sepiida, Sepiidae. The record is from the annotation of a GenBank genome assembly.
CCAUAUUAUGUUGAAACACUGGUUCCUGUAUGACCACUGAAGUUAAGCAAUGAUGAGUCUGGUCAGUAAGUAGAUGGGUGAUCACUUGGUAAUACCAGGUGCUGUAAG